RNAcentral lists this ribosomal RNA (1992 nucleotides) under Triticum aestivum (bread wheat). Its description in RNAcentral is "partial small subunit ribosomal RNA". Lineage: Eukaryota; Viridiplantae; Streptophyta; Magnoliopsida; Poales; Poaceae. The record is from RNAcentral.
AUGGUGUACGGAUCUGCCAACGCCGGCAAUGGCCAGGGCGCGGGGCUCCACGUGGACAUGCAGAAGCUGUCCCUGGAGGGGAAGAAGGAUGCCGCCGGCGCAGCCGACGCCGCCAAGCCCUCCGGGAUGCAGUACGGGUCUGCCAACACCGGCAAUUCGCAGACCGUGGAGCCGCACGUCGACAGGUCGAUAACGCCCCUGCUCCAGGAGGCCAUGGAUCCCAACUUUUUCUACCAACCCAAUGGAUAUCCCUCACCAGCCUACUACUACCCUAGCGGUUAUGAUGGCUCGACCAAUGAGUGGGACACUCGGUAUGCUGGUCAUGAAGGAAUGGAGGUGCCCCAGCAGAGUGUGUAUGGUGACAUGUACCAUGGAUAUGGUUAUGCUCCCUACGGCCCGUAUCCUUCAGGUUCUCCUGUCCCAACCGUUGGGCAUGAGGGGCAGUCAUAUGGCACACAGCAAUAUCAGUACCCUGGUCAGUAUUAUCAACAGCCGGCUCCAACCAAUGCGAUGCAUGGUGUUAACAGUGCCAAUCCUCAAUCUGAGCUGCCUUCCGCUGCGGCUCACCAGCCACGUGCUACGGUAGUUUCAGCAAAAGUAACUACUGGGACUGCUAGUGGGAUUGCAAAUGCUGCCAGUUCACUACCGCGUAAGCAAACUCACCACCAUGUAUCAGUGACCAACAGUGGUUCAUAUGGACGAGGGCCCUCGCAAGGUGGACCUUCCGCUAGCAAUUUUGGUCACACUGGUCACCGUUCUCCAGCUCAGUGGUAUGAUGGGCCGGUCUAUUCUAAUGGGCAUCAGGGAUCAAUUGCUAGUUCCACAUCUUAUGGUUCUAAUUCAUCUUCAGCAAAAAAUCAGAGUCACCGUCCAACAACAAACCUCAUGGGUAUGCAUACACAUGUGCCUUCAUCUGGGAUGGGGCUGACCUCUCCUAGUUAUUCUAGUAGGAUGUACCCUGAUAGCAGAUUGUAUGGUCAGUAUGGUCAGUACGGGAACACACUGAAAGCUGGACUUGGUUUUGGUUCUAAUGUGUAUAACUCGAGAAAUAAUGGACAAUGGGGAGUCGUGGAUACAGUCAAAUACAAGCCUAGAAACCGGGCAACUUUUGGGUUUGGCAGUGAGAAUCAAGAUGGCUUCACUGAGCUUAACAGAGGACCAAGAUCUGGUGGAUUCAGACACCAAAAACCAUUUGGACCUACUGUCACUAUUGCUGUGAAGGGGCAGGUCCUCCCUUCAGCUGGGAAACAAGAGAAUAGCGUCCUUCCAGAUAAGAGUCAAUUUAACCAGGAAGGCUUUUCUGCAACAUACAAGGAUGCAAAGUUCUUUGUUAUCAAAUCUUACAGCGAGGAUGAUGUGCACAAGAGUAUCAAGUACAAUGUGUGGGCAAGCACUCCUAAUGGAAAUAAGAAGCUGGAUGCUGGAUACCGAGAAGCUCAGGAGAAAUCCAGUGAAUGCCCGGUGUUCUUAUUUUUCUCUGUGAACACAAGUGGUCAAUUUGUUGGUGUUGCCGAAAUGGUUGGUCCUGUUGACUUUGACAAGACGGUAGAUUAUUGGCAACAAGACAAGUGGAAUGGCUGCUUUUCAAUCAAGUGGCACAUCGUGAAGGAUAUCCCCAACAACAUUCUGAAGCAUAUUACGUUGGACAACAAUGACAAUAAGCCUGUGACAAACAGCCGUGACACACAAGAGGUUAAGCUUGAGCAAGGUCUUCAAAUGCUCAAGAUUUUCAAGGAACAUGUCAGCAAGACCUCAAUUUUGGAUGACUUUGCAUUUUACGAGAACCGACAGAAGUUGAUGCAAGAAAAGAGAGCAAAGCAACAACCGCUUCAGGGGCAGGGCGUUGAUGAGAAGGAGAAGAGCGCAGUUAACGGGAACUCCGCUGCACAGAAGCAGACACCGAGCAAGGAGAGCACCGCCCCUGCCAUCGGGGAAGAGCCGAACGCUUCCAAACCCACCACAGCUGAAAGCGGCGUCGCGAGUGCCAACUAG